AAGUCGUAACAAGGUUUCCGUAGGUGAACCUGCGGAAGGAUCAUUAACAAAUGUCCCAACCCCCCACUUCUGUGAACCGUCUCCCACCUGCCGUGGUGUGUCCUCUGACUGCCGUGGGUGCUGGCAUUCCCUGUAGCAUUCUAAGAGUGAGUGCUACUGAAUGCCGGCACAGUCCUGCUGUAGUCUUGGCCACCACAUUUAUCUACCUACUAGUCUGAUGAGAGAGAGAGAGAGAACAAGCUGAGACUUUAUGAUAACUGAGUAAAGACAACUUUUAGCAACGGAUCUCUAGGCUCUU
Molecule: unclassified non-coding RNA, 298 nt
Filed under: fungal sp.
Lineage: Eukaryota; Fungi
Description: partial internal transcribed spacer region
Rfam family: Eukaryotic small subunit ribosomal RNA (bases 1-46)
Source: RNAcentral